This 252-nucleotide ribosomal RNA is filed under the name uncultured bacterium. Its description in RNAcentral is "partial 16S ribosomal RNA". It matches the Rfam family "Bacterial small subunit ribosomal RNA", at positions 524 to 776 of the family's 1533-position model. The record is from RNAcentral.
UACGUAGGGGGCAAGCGUUGUCCGGAAUCAUUGGGCGUAAAGAGCGUGUAGGCGGCCCGGUAAGUCCGCUGUGAAAGUCCAGGGCUCAACCCUGGGAUGCCGGUGGAUACUGUCGGGCUCGAGUCCGGAAGAGGAGUGUGAAUUCCUGGUGUAGCGGUGAAAUGCGCAGAUAUCAGGAGGAACACCAAUGGCGAAGGCAGCACUCUGGGACGUGACUGACGCUGAGACGCGAAAGCGUGGGGAGCAAACAGG